UAAGGAAUAUUGGUCAAUGGACGCAAGUCUGAACCAGCCAUGCCGCGUGGAGGAUGAAGGUCCUCUGGAUUGUAAACUUCUUUUAUCUGGGACGAAACACUUCUUUUCUAAGAGGCCUGACGGUACCAGAUGAAUAAGCACCGGCUAACUCCGUGCCAGCAGCAGCGGUAAUACGGAGGGUGCAAGCGUUAUCCGGAUUCACUGGGUUUAAAGGGUGCGUAGGUGGGUAUGUAAGUCAGUGGUGAAAUCCCCGAGCUUAACUUGGGAACUGCCAUUGAUACUAUAUAUCUUGAAUACCGUAGAGGUAAGCGGAAUAUGUCAUGUAGCGGUGAAAUGCUUAGAUAUGACAUGGAACACCAAUUGCGAAGGCAGCUUACUAUGCGGUGAUUGACACUUAGGCACGAAAGCGUGGGUAGCAAACA
This 422-nucleotide ribosomal RNA is filed under the name uncultured bacterium. RNAcentral's name for it is "bacterial SSU rRNA". It matches the Rfam family "Bacterial small subunit ribosomal RNA", at positions 355 to 774 of the family's 1533-position model. The record is from RNAcentral.